UCUGAAUCUGCGUACGGCUCCGCAAACCAGUUGUAAACUAUAGCAAGCAAGCCCGGGGUCGGCCUUCACGGGCUGGUUCCGGGUGAUAUGGAUAACCCUGGUAAUUCUGAGGCUAAUACAUGACCGUAAAACCUAGCUGACCGGCUUCGGCUGGGAUGCUGGGGGACGUGUGAUUUGGGCUUGGUAACACCGGGAAGGGGCGCACGUCUAGACCACGCUAUAAAGGUCGGUUUCCUCCUCGGAGGGGGCCGUCCCAGUGGCUCUUGCUGUGUGCUUCUGACCUAUCAACUAGACGGCAGCGUAAGGGACAUGCUAUGGU
Molecule: ribosomal RNA, 319 nt
Filed under: Lamproderma aeneum
Lineage: Eukaryota; Evosea; Eumycetozoa; Stemonitida; Stemonitidae
Description: bacterial SSU rRNA
Rfam family: Eukaryotic small subunit ribosomal RNA
Source: RNAcentral